Molecule: ribosomal RNA, 460 nt
Filed under: uncultured bacterium
Lineage: Bacteria
Description: partial 16S ribosomal RNA
Rfam family: Bacterial small subunit ribosomal RNA
Source: RNAcentral
CCUACGGGAGGCAGCAGUGAGGAAUAUUGGUCAAUGGGCGCGAGCCUGAACCAGCCAAGUCGCGUGAGGGAUGACGGCCCUACGGGUUGUAAACCUCUUUUGUCGGGGAGUAACGGGCGUCACGUGUGGCUCCACUGAGAGUACCCGGCGAAAAAGAAUCGGCCAACUCCCGGCCAGCGCCCGCGGUAAUUCGGAGGUUGCGAGCGUUAUCCGGAUUUAUUGGGUUUAAAGGGUGCGAAGGCGGAUCGUUAAGUCAGUGUUCAAAUUGAGGGGCAAAACCCGUUGCCGCCAUUGAAACUGGCGCUCUUGAGUGGAAGAGAAGUAUGCGGAAUGCGUGGUGUAGCGGUGAAAUGCAUAGAUAUCACGAAGAACCCCGAUGGCGAAGGCAGCUUGCCGGCUUCCGACUGACGCUGAAGCACGAAAGCGUGGGGAUCGAACAGGAUUAGAUACCCCUGUAGUC